RNAcentral lists this ribosomal RNA (496 nucleotides) under uncultured bacterium. RNAcentral's name for it is "partial 16S ribosomal RNA". It matches the Rfam family "Bacterial small subunit ribosomal RNA", at positions 28 to 506 of the family's 1533-position model. The record is from RNAcentral.
GAUGAACGCUGGCGGCGUGCCUAAUACAUGCAAGUCGAGCGAACAGACGAGGAGCUUGCUCCUCUGACGUUAGCGGCGGACGGGUGAGUAACACGUGGAUAACCUACCUAUAAGACUGGGAUAACUUCGGGAAAUCGGAGCUAAUACCGGAUAAUAUAUUGAACCGCAUGGUUCAAUAGUGAAAGACGGUUUUGCUGUCACUUAUAGAUGGAUCCGCGUCGCAUUAGCUAGUUGGUAAGGUAACGGCUUACCAAGGCAACGAUGCGUAGCCGACCUGAGAGGGUGAUCGGCCAAACUGGAACUGAGACACGGUCCAGACUCCUACGGGAGGCAGCAGUAGGGAAUCUUCCGAAAUGGGCGAAAGCCUGACGGAGAAACGCCGCGUGAGUGAUGAAGGUCUUCGGAUCGUAAAACUCUGUUAUUAGGGAAGAACAAAUGUGUAAGUAACUAUGCACGUCUUGACGGUACCUAAUCAGAAAGCCACGGCUAACUACGU